AGGAGUGCAAUGGCCAUCGGGUCUCAGCAUCCGUUCCUCGAGUCCUGGUGGGUAACAAGUGUGACCUUGUGGACCAAAUACAGGUGCCCUCCAACACAGCGUUGAAGUUCGCCGACUCCCACAACAUGUUGCUGUUCGAGACGUCGGCCAAGGACCCGAAGGAGAGUCAGAACGUCGACUCUAUCUUCAUGGCGCUGGCCUGCAGGCUCAAGGCUCAGAAAUCCCUGCUCUACAGAGACGUGGAGAGAGAGGAUGGGAGAGUCCGACUCACACAACAGACUGAAACAAAGAGUAAUUGUCCUUGUUGAGGAAAAAGAGGAGUGGGAGGCAUAAUGGAAGGGGAGGAUAGAAAGAGUAACUGUACAUGUGAAGGGAGAGGAGGAGAGGGAUGAUGGGGAGAGUGAGGCUAAAACAAGAGUCUUUCAAAUUAAGUGCAACUUUUCUGGUAUUGAAUGGAGGGUUGACUCUAAGAGAAAUGUGUUUCAAGGAAGAGGCGGACAGGUGGGAAGUGGCAACGCUCAUGUAUAUUAAGGAUGAGGAUGGUGAGGAUUGAUUAACAAUUCAGAAGACGAUGUUGCCUUUUAGACUACAGCAUAGUGUAGAUAUUCUUCCAUUUAUUCAAACAAAGACAGAAACUGAGUAAAUGUGCUUUCAGCUAGCAGAGUGCACAGGCAAACACAUCACAAGGGAUGAGUCAUUAGGGGAUCUACAACAAACGGUGUUGAUAUAAGGCUGUUGUUUCCUAAACCAGCCCUGGUUUGGUGUUUAUGACCGCCAUUACCAACACAGUCUUAUUUUUGCCUUACUCAUAUUGAUAUUUAUCCACAUCGUAGCUGAAAGCAGAAUGUCCCCGCUGUUUUUUACUGCCUUAAAAAGCUGCCUCUGUCAGAUUAAGAACUCAGUCAGGCAAAAGUAGCAUAGAGGAUUCACGUAUUUUAACCACUCUUAUGUAGAAAUAUCAACAAUUUCCGAACAUAAAUGAGAUGGUUUUUCCUCUCAGAAUGUUAGUGUAUCUAGGUAAAUCAUUCAAAGUUGACUUAAAAUCACUGUGAGAACACAAAUACAUGGCAAAAAUGGGAAAACACAAAGUUAAUGUGGAAAAAAUAUGGGGUGAGAAAAGUCCAAGUGAGCCCAAAGUACCGGAAGAUCUUGACAACAAGGUUUCCAGAUCAGCUAGAGGUUGUCAGGCAGCUUGUCACAUAUUGAUUUAUAGGCUGUAAGAUCCUUUUACCCGUAUGCAGGAGAAAUGCACUCUACUACAAAGAAUGGCCCUCAAGGCCAGGCUCUUUUUUUCUUCUAAUCCUGAUGUAAACAUAUUCCCGCUCUAUGCUAACCCUCUGGCACUGUGGCUUAUCAAGCUUUUACUUUGUGUGCAAAAUACACUCAGUCUUUGCCGUGUGUAACAUCAAGAUAGCCAGUCAGCAAUUCCAUAUUCUUUAAUGAACGACGUCUGUUUGACUAAAGGCCUUUCUGUCCGUUUUUGAUGGACCACAUCAAUAUCACUGCCUCCAGUCUCAGAGAGGACAGGGAACAUGAUAGAUCCCUGUAUACAUAGUGGAUUGACUUAUACUGCUACAGUUCCUGAACCUGGAUGUACGGUACGAGUGAACCUUUAAGCCUGUUGUCUGUAUAAGGGAUUAAGUCCUGGAGUAUCCGAGUCAUGGAUGAUACAGGCCACAUGAAACACUGCAGAAAGCCAUAUUUAUUAUUUAUUGUACAGUACUGUUUAGUAAAGCAACACACUUGUCAUAUCUAACCCUACUUUAACACUGUAGCCUACUUUUGCAAUCCUAUUGAUAUAUGUGGAUGCCAUAUGUUAACAAUUCAGAUCAGUGAGCAUUUCCGACAGGGUUUCCCUCCAAGCUGAUGAUCUAAUUAUUACAUCCGAUUGAGUUAUUUAAACACUGCACAUCGAGGUAAAAUCCUUCUUGGUAUUGUCUGAGCUGUAUCAGGUUUUUCUUUUUGCCUUUUUAUAAAACAGAUAAACAGGAAAGGGGGAGAGAGGAGGGACGACAUUGACUAAUCAAAGAGCCGUUGGUCAGAUUUAAUCCUGGGCAGCUAUUAAAGACUCAAAUUUAGUACAUGGCUCUAUUGGGGGAGCCACUCUUGUGCCCCAGCUGUAUCAGGUUGUCGAUUGUUUUUUUUGUCUGACAUUUUGCAGUUUCAAACAUGUUUGAUUGCCAUUAAAGAUGAAUAAAUUGACAUAACUGGAACAAACCAAA
Notothenia coriiceps (black rockcod) is the source of this 2222-nucleotide long non-coding RNA. RefSeq lists it as uncharacterized. The transcript has 2 exons. The record is from RefSeq and is a predicted model, not a curated record. NCBI's taxonomy places the organism in Eukaryota, Metazoa, Chordata, Actinopteri, Perciformes, Nototheniidae.